RNAcentral lists this ribosomal RNA (254 nucleotides) under uncultured bacterium. Its description in RNAcentral is "partial 16S ribosomal RNA". It matches the Rfam family "Bacterial small subunit ribosomal RNA", at positions 524 to 776 of the family's 1533-position model. The record is from RNAcentral.
UACGAAGGGGGCUAGCGUUGCUCGGAAUCACUGGGCGUAAAGGGUGCGUAGGCGGGUCUUUAAGUCAGGGGUGAAAUCCUGGAGCUCAACUCCAGAACUGCCCUUGAUACUGAGGAUCUUGAGUUCGGGAGAGGUGAGUGGAACUGCGAGUGUAGAGGUGAAAUUCGUAGAUAUUCGCAAGAACACCAGUGGCGAAAGGCGGCUCACUGGCCCGAUACUGACGCUGAGGCACGAAAGCGUGGGGAGCAAACAGG